UCGGGUAGGGAGGGAGGGUAAAACAGAGACUUGGGAAGGGAAGUCGGACGUAAUAGGGUAAUCCUCGAUUUGGAAAGGGAAUAGAAAAGCAGAGAAUUUUGGGAUUAGGCCGGUAUUGUAAUCACGCGUAAUACCUAUUACAGCGAACCAAACGCCGGAAUAAAGUCAGUAAUGUAAUAGGCGCGUAAUCGGGGCGUAAUGG
Molecule: long non-coding RNA, 202 nt
Filed under: Gossypium raimondii (Peruvian cotton)
Lineage: Eukaryota; Viridiplantae; Streptophyta; Magnoliopsida; Malvales; Malvaceae
Description: long non-coding RNA (GRAI_LNC005514)
Source: RNAcentral